UCGUAGUCAUCAACGGAACUGCGGAAUUGCCAAGAUCAAUUUCUUGACAAGAUAUCGUGAUUUCAAGAAUAUUUUCGGUUGCUUGACGAAUUUCUGUCCGUCAAAAUUUUUUCAACAUUUUUUUAACAUUUUUUUCUUUGCGAAAUUAAACUAAAUCUCGGAAUCCGUUAUAACUUGUUAACCCUCGAACGAUCAAUUAAUUUGUAAUGAUUCAACCGAUCUUGGAUUAUUAUAUAUAUAUAUUGGAUCCUCUUACUAUUUUAAUUUUAAUUACGUUUCACAAUUAAACACAACGAAAUAUUACUCAAAUAAAAAAAAAUCGGAAUUUCUUAAGAGACAACAUUAUUCCAUUUUGCAAAAAAUAUUCAUUUAUUGCAAUGUAAGACCAUGUUAUACAUUUAUGUAGAUGAUCUUUCAUCAUCUAUAAUCAAUAAUUAUUUGUACACAACUAACGUCGUUAAUUAAAGAAAUUAUCGCGAA
Apis cerana (Asiatic honeybee) is the source of this 480-nucleotide long non-coding RNA. RefSeq lists it as uncharacterized. Lineage: Eukaryota; Metazoa; Arthropoda; Insecta; Hymenoptera; Apidae. The record is from RefSeq and is a predicted model, not a curated record.